This 22-nucleotide microRNA is filed under the name Chrysemys picta bellii (western painted turtle). RNAcentral's name for it is "Cpi-Mir-192-P2_3p* (star (passenger))". The record is from RNAcentral. RNAcentral also lists the same sequence under 1 other name. Lineage: Eukaryota; Metazoa; Chordata; Testudines; Emydidae.
CUGUCACUUCUGUAGGCCAAUA